RNAcentral lists this ribosomal RNA (370 nucleotides) under uncultured bacterium. RNAcentral's name for it is "bacterial SSU rRNA". It matches the Rfam family "Bacterial small subunit ribosomal RNA", at positions 28 to 399 of the family's 1533-position model. The record is from RNAcentral.
GACGAACGCUGGCGGCGUGCUUAACACAUGCAAGUCGAGCGGUAAGGCCCUUUCGGGGGUACACGAGCGGCGAACGGGUGAGUAACACGUGGGUGACCUGCCCUCAGCUCUGGGAUAAGCCCGGGAAACUGGGUCUAAUACCGGAUAUGACUCCAUGAUGCAUGUUGUGGGGUGGAAAGCCUUGUGCGGCUGAGGAUGGGCCCGCGGCCUAUCAGCUUGUUGGUGGGGUGAUGGCCUACCAAGGCGACGACGGGUAGCCGGCCUGAGAGGGCGACCGGCCACACUGGGACUGAGACACGGCCCAGACUCCUACGGGAGGCAGCAGUGGGGAAUCUUGGGCAAUGGGCGAAAGCCUGACCCAGCAACGCCG